RNAcentral lists this unclassified non-coding RNA (215 nucleotides) under Hevea brasiliensis (rubber tree). The record is from RNAcentral. Lineage: Eukaryota; Viridiplantae; Streptophyta; Magnoliopsida; Malpighiales; Euphorbiaceae.
CCCCAGUAGGUGAGGAACAAACUGAGACCGACAGUCUCGAAGACGCGAGCGACAGCGCCGACGGCAACAGUAUCGAGGGGACGCUUCUCGGUGGCGAUUUGAGAGAUGAUCGAAGGAGCGGCGCUAGCAGCGAAAACCAAUGUACCCAAGUAGGCAGCACCCUUGUAUGUCAAAGUACCAGUGGCAUUGAUCAAAGCUCCGACACCGUAUGUCUG